UCCUUUUUCAGUGAAAAGGAUGCUUGCUAACAAGUUGCUAAAUGGGACACCGAGCUUAUUUUCUGCACAACAGGUGAAGAGCAACUUUAAAAAUUUAGCAAACUAUUGAUAGAAUCUCAAAACAAGAGACUGUUCUACAUGGCUAUAUACAUUCCCAUAACAAAUGUGUGGAGGAUCAGUUCAGACGGGAUAAAGAUUAUGAGUACAAUAAGACUAUACUUUGAGUUAUUUGCUAGUAUAGCUUGUAGAACUACAGAACUGAACUUAGAAACUUUAAUUCUGAACUUCAUGAAAGCAAUGAAUUCAGUCCCACGUUGACAUCCUAUGGCACCCGAUGUAAUAGGACGUUUGACAGGCAGGUUUCAAUUAGCGUGACUGCACGUCUUGUAUCUUUUAAUAGGAAAUCCGCCGCUGCUGUGAGGGAGAAAGCUUCAAUGCUCUCUGCUGCAUCUUAAUAAAAAUAUGUAUAAAAAAGAGAAGAAGAACUGGGUUUCCACAGCAACUGGCACCUGAGUAACGGCGGAGACGUGCUUGAAGGCAUCAGGAGCAGCAAGCAUUGAAGUGCUCUACAGAACAUCUUUGAUGCACUCACAAACUCUGGUCUCGCGUCAAGCGCUUAUACACCGCGCGUGAUUCGACCUGACGGAAACAACCCAUGAAAUCUCAGAGUCUCCUCACCAGGGGGAACACGGCCGACAAUAGGCCCUAAUUAAAGCAUGCUGUGGGCUGACAGAGCCCAUUCUUCGCCACAGCGUCCCGUUUAAACUGGGCCUCCCUUCCUGUGCCAUCCACACCCACCUCACUCCACUAAUUUCAAGUGGAACCGUGAAGGCUUAAUGGAAGACCUCGGAUGACAGGAAGUCAACGUGACCUGAUUACUCAGCGAAAGCGACGUCCGUGGAUGCUCUUCGGAAGCCGAGUGGCAUUCCCCGUCUCCAUUGCUCCCUGGGAUAAAGAGAUUGCCCUCCUUCUAAUGGAAUUACAGAGCUGGAGAACAUUGAGACAGAGAAGAGAGAAGACUGUGGAAAGGACAGGCCGGUUAACCUUCUCAUCUCGAGACCAGACGAGGAGCUCACAACCUUAAUCCCUCCAUAGUCCUGUGGAUUAGGCCGUCCUCUUAUCACGGCUUUAAUGCGGCGAGCUGCAUUGUCAUCUCCCUUUCUUUGCCGCGUAAUUAUCCCCGCUAGCAGCUUCCAGACUCAUUAUUUUUAUCAUACCACUUCCUGUACGACCAGUGGGGGGGCCAGUGAUUCAGGCCCCUAUCAAAGAUGUCUUGGAUCUGUUCCUUACAAUGAGCUGGUGCACAGACUGCUCUCAUUCUGUUGCGGUUCUACCCAGAAUUCCAUGUUUAUCCUUCAUUUGCUCACCCUUAUGUCAUCCAAAACCUGCAAGACUUUCCUUCUUCCAUGGAACGCAACAGGUAACAUGUAACCUGGUUUUCUAGAUCAUUCCCUGUCGCCUGGUCAUGCGCUCUGUUUACUUGUUUAGCGCGGCAGACCUGAAGGAAGCUCGAACCGUGACGCCGUCACAGAUGAAAGCCGCUGUCUGGGGAACGCUGUCAUUGAGGUGAAUGACAGAUUCACUCCUCCAUACUGUCACAGCUGACAGGGAUUCAUCCGUCCCAAAUAAAAGCUUUCAGGAGCUCCAUUGUUUGUUACAUCAUUUCUUUUUUUUCGCCCACACAGGAGCACAGUCACAAAUAAUUCAUGGUUUGUUUUGUUUUAUUAUGUCAUGCUCGGAACAACUUGAAUUAGAGCUCUCUUACAAAUGGGAAAUAUUUACAUAAAAACAAUAAUCUUUGUUCAACUUGCCAGCAUGGCCCAGCCCUUCCUGAUUUGAGCAACAGCGCACCUUACUCUAUUCCGUUUCCUUAUUUUGGUAUCUUUUCCUCUCUCUAUAUCUGUCUCGUUUUUUUAAGCGUGAGAAUUGAUGAAUGUCAAAGAAAGUUGGAGCCUAUUUGCUUUUUGAGCUCAUGCUUUUCAGUGUGGUGCACCAUAUACUAGAACAUCAACAUUUGAAACCUGUCGAGAACACGUCCGGGUCAUAUUUCAGCACAAAAUUAAAAGGAUAAAGAGACAGUUAUU
Molecule: long non-coding RNA, 2084 nt
Organism: Ctenopharyngodon idella (grass carp)
Lineage: Eukaryota; Metazoa; Chordata; Actinopteri; Cypriniformes; Xenocyprididae
Exons: 4
Source: RefSeq, a predicted model, not a curated record